CUCCCAGCUGGCGUUGCUGAGAGGCAGGGGGUCCUCCCCGUGAAACGUCACCCCGUGACCGAAGCUCUUGGCAUCCUUAUAGCAGGACAGCUGACCCGGCUUCAGCACACAGAACAGGCUGUUCCACGACCUGGAGGUGAUGUACCUGUUUGACGCCCUCUUUCCUGAGCCCUCUACAUCAUGUUUGCGGCUCAAGGUGCCCUCCUGCAGCACGGCCUGGGCUCCGACCGGCUCCAGGGCCACGGUGGCGGCCCUCUCCGGUUCCUGCUGCGUUCCCAUGGAGACCGAGGGCUCCGGGUCCAGCUCCAAGGACCCGCUCUCUCUCACCUCCGACACGAUGGGCGCCGUGGAGUCGCCGGCAGCUCCCUCCUGCUGACCUGAACUGGGCUCAGCCGCGCCGAAACCAGACUAGGGGGCAGAAUGGAAACAACAUCAACAAACCACCUGCCUGUUAAUUAGAGCGUGCCCUUGAUUGCUGCAUCAUUUAUGAUGUUCAAAGAGCGUGGAUUGUUUUAGAUUUGAAAAAGUCAAGGAGCUCUUUUUAAAAGUUUUUCUUUUAUUAAUUUUUUGACUGGUUAAAUAGAGGUCACCACAUCAAAACGUACAGAGGACAGGGCUGAGUGGGCGUAGUUACUAACCAGAGUCUGCUCCUCAAUAGUGUAGAGCUGUGAAGAUUCCUCUACAAAGCCCGUGUCUUCUCUCCUGGGGGAAAGGAAGCAGCAUGGGGUCUACGUGAGAGGUUUUUCAGAGCAGUAGGUGCGUGAAAGAGCGCUUGAAGCACAGGCCUGCUAAUGUUCAGCGUUCCCGUCAAGACGCUCAGCGACUGGAAAAGACCGCAGCCGAUGAAACAUUUUGUCUGCCUCUCGGUAUUUCUCGACCUUCGCCGCGUUUCCGUGGCCCGGAGCAUCGAGCCCAUUUGUUCUACUGACUAACACCUAAUUUAGCCUGGGCCUAUUUUCAGCAGCAGAUUUGUCCUAAUAGUGAGGCGAACGCGCGUUUCGGUGAUUUGGACAGUUUUGUUAGGAAAAAUCUAUUAAUAAUGUGCAGCCAAUUUUCUGAAAAUGGACUUUAUAUUUGUAUAGAAUCAGUAGAUACUUAGGUGUAAAAGGUAGGGCGGCCACAUAAUUAACUGUUUUAGACGUUUGGACUACAAAAGCCUAAGUCAGUAGGCUUUUGUAGUAUAAAUGCUUCAGACCCAGAAAACAAGUAUAGAUCACAGAGUAUUUUUUGUGGUGCGUGUUCACGGUCGUGGGCUGUGCAUGUACCUGCUGUCCCUGAAUGAACCGGGCUCUCCUCUAAUGAACUUCUCGAUCUCCUCCUGUUGUCUCCUCAGCUCCAGCAGCUCCAGCUGCAACACACAGUCAACUGAAAUGAGACGCUCUGCGUCGUUUGCUGCGCUUUAGUGGAUGAAUAGCGCUUUAAUUGAGUUUGUAGCCACAGAUGUUUUGAUAAUUGAGUAGAGUCCUCAUUCAAUUAAAGCUGGAUAGGUAAUUUGUUUCUUAUAAAGUAUUAACAUUUAGACUAUUAAUUUGACAAACAACUUAAUUUAAGUUGAGUAGAAAACUGUAACAGAACAUUUUAUACAAAUAUAAUGAUGCACAUUAAUCAGUAACGACAGUAGUAAACUCAGCUAUGUAGCAGCAUUAGUGCCGUAAUCCUCAUUAACAUUCACAUUUGUGUUUUAACUUAUUCAGAUUCAUCAGCAGCAGAUUGGUCUCCUAUCAUUUUUCACACUCCGGUUUAUUUCAGAUUCUGAGUGAAUUUCCAACAAACAAACGUGUCACCGGGCCUCUUAAUCCUCCCGUGAGCCGAUGGGGGGACGGAACCGCGGCGGGACCCACCGUGGUGAGGCGCUCCAGGGCGGAGAAGCGCUCCUCCCAGGUGGCCGUGGACUUCUCGAAGGCCCUGUGCCUCUUGAGGAGCCGGUCCACCUCGUCCACGGUGUGGCCCAGGUCUCUGCUGGUGACGUGGGGCUCCUGAGCGAUCAGCCAGGCCUCGGCCAACGAGGCGUCGCGGGCGAACUGGCACACCUCCAGCACUGCACGCAGAAGGAGGACGUUCGUGAGGACUUUGAAGGCGGCGCGUACUUUUCGGUGUGAGUGGAGUUUAUUACUCACAGAGGCUGAGCCAGUCCCGUCGGUCCUCCCACUUCUUCUCCAUCUCCUUCCAUUUCUCCUUCAGCUGCGACAGCUUCUCUUCGAUCUGACGCAAGCAGUUACACAGUCACGCUUACAUCUCAACGUUAUUAAAGAACUCGGCCCCAGCCCGACUAUUAUCCUCUCAGAAUUAGUAUUGUGGAGUAAUUAACCAAACAGUAAAUUUAGGCCGGGGUCAAUUGCUCAUUUAAAUUCUUUUUGGCUUUUCCAUUUCUAAUUAGUGUUUGCUUUAUAGUCUCCCUGAUGAGUGGAAGGUUUUUUUAUUUCGCGGCAAUCCAAUUGGUUCCAUUGUGCCAGACAAGAACAAUCGCUCCCAGAAAAGUAAUUAAAUCUAAUGAAAGCAGCAAUUCGGGGACUGCUGAGGAUGAAAAGAAGCCGUCUUCCCUCACCUCGCCAGAGUCCCGGUGCUUGCGCGUCACCAGGGCCUUCCCGAAGUCAAUGCAGUCCGUGAACUUGCUUUUCCUGGUCUCCAUUUCUGAGCGGAUCCCUUGGUGGUUCUUCUUCAGGAGCUCCCCGGACGGGACGUCCCUAAUGCAGGGGACAGAGAGAUAUAAAAUGAUAGUACUUAAUGCAUGAAGUGCAUCUUCCUCUAUUGGUACGGUCUGGAACUGCACCAGUGAUGGCUUUUAUUACCAAGGUUUAAUUAGCCUGUAUCAUAUUUAAAGUGAAUUAGUUUUGUGUUCAUAAGCUUCAUGUUGCAGAAAUGUGUCUAUUAAAACUAUUAUAAUAAA
Betta splendens (Siamese fighting fish) is the source of this 2887-nucleotide long non-coding RNA. RefSeq lists it as uncharacterized. Lineage: Eukaryota; Metazoa; Chordata; Actinopteri; Anabantiformes; Osphronemidae. The transcript has 2 exons. The record is from RefSeq and is a predicted model, not a curated record.